CAGUAGCCGCGGUAAUGCGAAGGGUGCAAGCGUUAAUCGGAAUUACUGGGCGUAAAGCGUGCGUAGGCGGUGAGUUAAGUCUGCUGUGAAAUCCCCGGGCUCAACCUGGGAAUGGCAGUGGAUACUGGCUCGCUAGAGUGUGUCAGAGGAUGGUGGAAUUCCCGGUGUAGCGGUGAAAUGCGUAGAGAUCGGGAGGAACAUCAGUGGCGAAGGCGGCCAUCUGGGACAACACUGACGCUGAGGCACGAAAGCGUGGGGAGCAAACAGGAUUAGAUACCCCCGUAGUCCCUGUCUCUUAUAA
This 301-nucleotide ribosomal RNA is filed under the name uncultured bacterium. RNAcentral describes it as "partial 16S ribosomal RNA". It matches the Rfam family "Bacterial small subunit ribosomal RNA", at positions 509 to 809 of the family's 1533-position model. The record is from RNAcentral.